Molecule: unclassified non-coding RNA, 1758 nt
Filed under: Hevea brasiliensis (rubber tree)
Lineage: Eukaryota; Viridiplantae; Streptophyta; Magnoliopsida; Malpighiales; Euphorbiaceae
Source: RNAcentral
UUCUCCUUCAAUUUUUAAGAAUACCAUUAUCUCUUCUUUCACAAAUUUCCAAUGUAUACUUUGAUAUUAGUAGAUAAAUACGUAAAUUGACAACGAAACAGCUUAUCCAUGGAGUAAGAACGUAAUGUUUCAGUAAUAAUCAAAAGAUUCUACAUGAAAAAGGGAAAACAGAGAAGGACAAGUCCUUAUAACUCUCCAUUAUUUUAUUAGCAGGCUUCAGCAAAGCACUUUCGUGGAACCUAUAUAUAAUCUAAUAUCCUCAAGGAUAAUUAAUGCGUAGUAUUGUGGCAUGCCAUUUUCAAUGGAAUAGGGGGAUCAGAGAAGGCUCCUGUAGAAAUCUGGUCGAAAAUAAAUUUAUUGGCAGCUUCAGUGUAGUGACCUCCAUCCCAAUUUACUCGAACUGAAGGGCGAUCACAAGAGCCCACAACUAUUUGGGUACCAUUUGCUGUAACUGUAUCUCCACAUCGAACAUUACUACUAAAAUUGUACUUUCCUCCGUAGCCACAACAUACUAUAAGUGGAAGCUCGAAACCAUGUUUUUCUGGUUCACUGAAUAAAGAAUACUUGACAGAAUAGAUGUCAACAUAGGUGAAAACCGCUAAUGGCAAAUCCUUCCUGAGCUGAGCUACGCUCUCCUUCAAGUUGAGAUUAAAAUGCUGAGCAACUUCAUUGUAAGCUUUUGCACAGCCUGCACUAUCUUUUUCAGCCAAGGGAAAACUCUCAAAAAUAUAUGCAAGACAACCAAGUGGUCCUGUGUUGUGAAUCCAAAAUGAUCUAGCUCCCAAAUUGUAUAUUUUCUUAACGUUUGCUGAGAAGCUAUUGACAAUACCAGGGACAGUUGCAUUCACUUCUUCCACAGACAAGUUACCAGAAGAUCCAGCUCCAAUAUCAUUUUGACCGAUAUCGAAUGUGUAUAAAGCCUUCUCAAAAUAAUCUCUCUCAGGCACCGAUUCAGCAAACAUAGCUCCUUUUUCCCUGAUAAUCUGUGAUCUGGAUAUGAAUUGCAGGAAUUGCUCAUAUUGCACAUCAAGGUAGAAUGGACUAUAUCCACCAUUAGGUACAAUACUAGUUGGUAUUUGAAUGGUGGAUGCUGCUGUGGCAAAAUUUGCACCAUGUUUGAAGUUGGCUCCCAGAGAAUUAAGAUAUGCACUCAGAUAAGGGAGAUUGAAACUCUUGGCUACCAUGCCAAUCAGAUGGUCAAUAAUUGGAGAUUGCAAACACUUGAAUCAUUAACCAAAUUAAAUAAUUAAAACUACUGACCUAUAAAAUCUAUUAUGAGCCUUCCAUCAGAGUACCUCCCUGCUGGCAUAUGAAAGAAAGUCUCUCCAUAAGGAGAGUUAGGAGGAGAAAAAGCAGCUGCCAAGCCACCGGUAUCGGAAUUGGAGUCACCGAAGUUAAAGAUUGCCGGAAAAUCACAGUUUUUGGAAGCAUAAGUGAGGGAAAGCAUGCAUAAUAAGAAAGAGAGAGUGGUGAUAAGCUUGUUAUUAGUUUCAGGAAACUCCAUGGAUUGGAAGCAAAAACUAGGAGCUAAGUGCAGCAGUGGAAAGUAUCUUUGUAUGUAUAAUAGUGAAAGAGAGACAUUUUCAAGUUUCAUUCCUGAUUGAUUACAUAUACAUGUUAAUAGCAGUUAGAAUUUCCUUGUUCCCAACAUUACGUACACAAAUUGAAUUGACAAGAUGAGAACAAUAUUUCAUGGCUUGGAAUAAAAUUUCUGGCGUCUGAAUUAUGAAUUUUCCAAUGUCCCAUUUCAUGUCUAAA